CCUACGGGUGGCAGCAGUGAGGAAUAUUGGUCAAUGGGCGGAAGCCUGAACCAGCCAAGUAGCGUGCAGGAUGACGGCCCUACGGGUUGUAACCUGCUUUUAUACGGGAAUAACGCGCCUUACGUGUAGGGCUUUGCAUGUACCGUAUGAAUAAGGACCGGCUAAUUACGUUCCAGCAGCCGCGGUAAUACGGAAGGUCCGGGCGUUAUCCGGCUUUAUUGGGUUUAACGGGAGAGUAGGCCGCAUGUCAAGCGUGCUGUGAAAUGUUCGGGCUCAACCCGGGCCUUGCAGCGCGAACUGGCGUGCUUGAGUCCGCGUAAAGCAGGCGGAAUGCGUCGUGUAGCGGGGAAAUGCUUAGAUAUGACGAAGAACCCCGAUUGCGAAGGCAGCUUGCUGCAGCGGAACUGACGCUGAUGCUCGAAAGCGCGUGUAUCGAACAGGAUUAGAUACCCUUGUAGUC
Molecule: ribosomal RNA, 460 nt
Filed under: uncultured bacterium
Lineage: Bacteria
Description: partial 16S ribosomal RNA
Rfam family: Bacterial small subunit ribosomal RNA
Source: RNAcentral